Molecule: RNA transcript, 4352 nt
Organism: Papaver somniferum (opium poppy)
Lineage: Eukaryota; Viridiplantae; Streptophyta; Magnoliopsida; Ranunculales; Papaveraceae
Gene name: 40S ribosomal protein S18-like
Exons: 6
Source: RefSeq, a predicted model, not a curated record
AAGAUGGGUUAAAGUUUCAUCAUAUGUAUGUAUUUUGUACAGCUUAUAAAAUAAAUAUGUAUUCUGUACAUAUAGGCCCGUAGGACUUCCAUUUGUUUCCACUACAAUCAAACUCAAAAUUCUAGGGAUUACUCUCGUUACCCGCUUUCUCCUUCUCUUUCUUCUCUUUCAGUGGUGGAAGUGAAAAUGUUUCGAUCCUUGUGGUGUAGAGUAGGAGCAAAUCUGCAAACUACGACCCCCAUAAAUGGGGUACCUUCUCCAUCAUCAUCUAGGUAUGUUUUCCUCACACAGCAGGAUUCGAAUGUUAUCAAUAGAACUAGGGUUAGUUCCAUACUAAUGGUAAUAAUGUUAGGUCAUAUUCUUCUUCUGAUUCAUUUGUAGUUAAUUAUCUGAUCAAUUCAUGUGGAUUAUCUGAAAAUGAAGCUAUUAAUGUCUCUCAAAAAAUCAAAUUCAAAACCACAUCCCAACCAGAUUCAGUAUUAACAUUAUUUGAAAACUAUGGAUUCACUAAACCUCGCAUUUCAAAACUCAUCACUACGCGUCCAUCAAUUUUGUUGUUUGAUCCUCUUAAAACCCUAAAACCCAAAUUGGAUUUUUUCAAUUCUAAAGGGCUAGAUGGAAUAAAACUUUCCGAAGGACCCAAACAUUCUGACACUGAGCUUAAACAAUACUAUAAUCCCUUCAUUUGAUAUCCUUGAAAGCAUUCUUCAUACUCAAAGAAAUAUUUAUAAAUUCCUUAAACAAUCUACCUUUUGGGUUCUCAGAAUAAACGGGCUUAAGCAAUUGAGGGUCAAUGUAAAGCUUUUGAGAUGUGAAGGUGUCCCUGAAUCUUAUAUUAUUAAGUAUCUUAUCAUCAAACCUAGAUCGUUUAUGGCAGAUGCUGAUAAGUUUAAUAAGAUUGUUGAAAAGCUUAAAGGAAUGGGUUUCGACCCUUUAGCUACAACAUUUCUUCAAGCUAUAGAGAGAUUGACGUCGAUGACUGAAGCCACUUGGAGAAAAAAAAUGGAUGUUUACAAGAGACGGAGUUGGUCUGAGGAUCACUUACAUACAGCAUUUAGGAAAUGUCCUUCUUGUAUGAAGGCUUCUGAGAAGAAGAUUACGGCAGUUAUGGAUUUCCUUGUGAAUGAAAUUGGUUAUGAUUGAUUGGUUAUUGCGGAAAACUCAUGGAUUUUCACUUACAGCUUGAAGGAGAGGAUUAUCCCUAGGUGCUCUGUUAUAAGAAUUUUAGUCUCAAAGGGUCUGAUUGAGGAAAAAAUUUCUCUGGUAUCACUUGGAAGCCUGACAGAUAAGUCCUUUUCGGAUAAGUUUGUGACACCAUAUGAACAAGAAGCUCCUGCAUUAAUGAAGGUUUUCCGCGGUGAGUUGAAUUAGAGAGAGCUACUACUGUAAUGAAGGACUUGGUGAGAUGAAUAUGGGUCUAAUUAGGUUGAACGACUCUGCCUGUGUAGUUACUACACAGCCUGUCCCAAGCCAGGAUAAAGGAGGAGGGGGUCGCGAUUGGCGUGGCUAGCCGGUGACUGACCAAAAGAGGGUGAAAAUAGUACUAAGACGGGUGACCUCUUGGAGAAGUCCUCGUGUUAUACUUUUGGCGAGAGCAGUACUCAGUUGGGUGACAGCUUAGGAAGUCUUCAUGUUUCCUUUCUAGCUUACCCUAGCUUGUUUGGAACUAAAGGCUUCGAAGAAGAAAUCCAAUUAGGUUGAACAUUAAGUUUUGUUGAGUUUGAAAAGAACCAUCGCAGUUUGAAGCAUUACUGGGGUCUCAGAGUCGGAGGACAGCACACGAAGAUUAGAGGACUGUUGUUAUUCUUUUGUUCAGAGAAGUUAUUAUGGUGAGAAGUCUGUCUUUCUGCUUUAGAGUUGGAACAUGGGAGGACUAUAAUUAUGAUACUAGUAUUAGUUUAGGAUUUUGAAUAUUUCGGAAUUUGAAUGUCCUUCAUUUUUUCUUACUGAAAUCUAAAAUCUUAGACAAUAUUUUCAUAUGGGAACUUUUUUGUAUUUGGCUUUCUUAAUCGUCAACGAUAUCCUGCACCAACAUCUCAGGAAAUUUGAUUUGUUUUCAUUGUUUUCUUUUGAAGUUCAGUUUGAGUUUUGUCACUUUUUACCUUGUAUCAAGGAGACCUUCCUUGCUGUGCAUGUUUAGUUUCUCGACUGAGUAAUGUAAUGACAUUUCAUUGAACUCGAAAAGUUUAACAUAGUUUUAGGGUAUGUGCGAACCACAGUACACCUCCUUUAGCUUUAAGGCUCAACAAUAUAAUGACAUCCAGGAUCAAAGCAAUCAUGGCAGCCUGAUCACUUAUAUAGAUCAUGAUUAGAGUCCCAAAUUAUUUCAUUAAUAUCCAGCCUUCAGUUUUGUCAUUCUCUUUCUUUGUGUUCUGUAAUUUGUACUAAUUUGAGAAGAAAUUACUCCAAGAUCAUACCAGGACUUCAAAAACUUGUUGGAUUAUCCAGUACUGAGGGGAUAUAAGCUUAAGUUUAUAGUUUACUUCUCAGAUGCUAUGAACUAUUAGAGAUAGAUACUUUGCUCUCCAUUAAACAAAAAUAAAGUUUAUUUUUGGUUGAUUUCACAACUUUUUAUUUGGAAAAUCUUGUCUCUAUGCUCCUCUUAGUUUGAUGGCUGAAUAGAUGUAGUGAAAGCUUAUCAGAUUUAGUUGCUUAAUGACAGUGAAUUUUGCACCUCCUUCAUAUUUAUCGUUCUUCUGUUUGAUCUGCAAGGUCGAGAACUACUUAGCGACCCUGAAUAAGAAAACAUCUAUACUGUUUAACACAACAAGUUUCAUGGUAAGUGUUAGCUUGUUCAGUACUUGUCUAUUGCAGGGCGAAGCCCUAUUAGCUGUUGCAUUUUUAGUUUUUAGGAAGCAUAUUAUUGCUGAGGAUAAAGUGUUCUGCCCAAUUUACACUUUAGAAGCUGAGAAAUCUAGUAUACUUUGGACGCUCACUCACUGUAUAGUGUGUACGGCCAUCUUAACAAUGUAAUGUAUCUAUUAUCUGGAUGCCAUUUAAGGACGGCAUGCUUAAACAUGAGUUUUGCUUAACUUUAACCCUCAGUCUAUGAAUGUAGCGUCUGUAACAAUCACUGAUGGCUGCUAUAUGCCAAACCUGAGCAUAUAGGUUUGGAUUGGUCCAUGAGACGUUUACUUUGGCAGAUACCCUGCCACUCUCUUUCAACUUAAUCAGCUAAGUUCCCCAUAAGACUUUCUUUUCUGCCCACCUUGAUUUUUGUGCUGUUCUUUAAUAUUUUCGAUCUUUAAUGAGGUUUUAAUUGUAAUAUGGAUUGCAGAAUCUAGAGUAUCCCAACCUCGACUGUGGAAGAGAGGUCCAUUGACCAUUCGGUCUGAACCUCGUGUCAAUGCUAAGACAGCCAAGUUAAUCAGUAUUUGUUAUCAUGGCAAUUUUUUUAUAGAACCAGAAUGCUCUAUAGUCAUAAGCUUCACUAUAAGCAUCGCUAAAUUUCGCCAGUCCAGCUUCGAUUCUUUCCGGAGGAACAUAAACUUCAUUAGGAAAGUGUAAUAACCAGUCGGAAGAUUAUGAUCCGUGACUAACCAAUAAGGCUUAGGGAACCAUCAUGGUAUGAGGCAUUACUGGGGUCUCAGAGUUCGUGGACGGCAUACCAAGAUUACAGGUCGCGGAGGUAAGACUGUUGGUGUCUCCAAGAAACAUCGAAGACUGGUUGUUAUUCUUUUGAUUUGAGAAGUUCUUAAGAGUCUGGUGUAUUCAAACCUCGACUGUGGAAACCAUUCAGUCUGAGCAUCAUGGCUGUACGACACACAUGUACACUACACAUAUAGCUUUGCCGAUGCCAGAGUUAUAAUACAAUAUCUGCUGUCAUGGCAGAAUUUGGACCGCGUUGGCAAAAAAAGAUAGCCACAACAAAGCUUUUGAAUUAUAGAAUCCCAACGCUGGAUACGCCGGAAGCUUCACUAUAAGCAAGCAUCACUAAAUCUCGCCAGUCCAGCUCUGAUUCUUUCCAUAGGAACGCAAACUUCGUAAGGAACCUUUGUGGUCCGUGGACUGCACACCAAGACUACAGGUUGCAGGGGUACGACUGUUGGUGUCUCCAAGUCCAAGAAGCGUUGGAGACUGGUUGUUAUUCUUUUGACAGAGAAGAUUUAUGGUGAGAAGUCUUUCUGCUAUAGACUUUGGAACCUAGGACUUAAAUUAUGAUACUUGUAUAGUUUAGGAUUUUGAAUAUCUCCAAACUUUAAUUUCCUGCAUUUUUCUUACUGAAAUCUGUGACACCAUUUUGAGAUGGGGACUUCUCUGUACUUGGCUUUCUUAAUUGUCAACAGUUAGAUAUGCUGUCCCGAAAUCUCAGGAAACUUUAUUUGUUUUGAUUGUUUUCUUAUAAAGUUCAG